This 245-nucleotide ribosomal RNA is filed under the name uncultured bacterium. Its description in RNAcentral is "partial 16S ribosomal RNA". It matches the Rfam family "Bacterial small subunit ribosomal RNA", at positions 524 to 767 of the family's 1533-position model. The record is from RNAcentral.
GACGAACCGUGCGAACGUUAUUCGGAAUCACUGGGCUUAAAGCGCGUGUAGGCGGGCCGGCACGUCGGACCCUGAAAGCCCCCGGCUCAACCGGGGAAGCGGGGCCGAUACGACCGGCCUGGAGGGGCGUAGGGGGACCUGGAACUUCCGGUGGAGCGGUGAAAUGCGUUGAGAUCGGAAGGAACGCCCGUGGCGAAAGCGAGGUCCUGGACGCCUGCUGACGCUGAGACGCGAAAGCCAGGGGA